Molecule: long non-coding RNA, 290 nt
Organism: Sinocyclocheilus grahami
Lineage: Eukaryota; Metazoa; Chordata; Actinopteri; Cypriniformes; Cyprinidae
Exons: 3
Source: RefSeq, a predicted model, not a curated record
CGUAAAGCCAGUUUAGUAGCCGAAAGGUACCAAGAUGGCGGAGGCCGAUUUUGUGGCGAUACGAACGGUUUUGGACGUCCAAACGAGUGUUUGAAGCGUCGAUGGGGCCUCUUUUAGCGUCGAGCGUCCGUAUGUGGCGUCAGCUCAGGACCAGGGAUUUUUUUCGUUGCUGCGGUACCGGAUUGAUGCUGUGAAGUGACGACAUCAAACCGUUUAUUUUUUGGUCCUAUUUUAAAAUAAAAUAUAUGUAUUAAUUUAUAAUACCUCAUGGCUGUGUUUUGUUUAAGAGA